Molecule: unclassified non-coding RNA, 520 nt
Filed under: uncultured Entrophospora
Lineage: Eukaryota; Fungi; Glomeromycota; Glomeromycetes; Entrophosporales; Entrophosporaceae
Description: SSU rRNA
Rfam family: Eukaryotic small subunit ribosomal RNA
Source: RNAcentral
AGCAGCCGCGGUAAUUCCAGCUCCAAUAGCGUAUAUUAAAGUUGUUGCAGUUAAAAAGCUCGUAGUUGAAUUUCGGGAUUGGCGUAUCGGUCGUGCCUCACGGGGUAUGAACUGGUGCAGUCAAUUUCUCACCUUCUGGAGAACCGCGAUGUCCUUAAUUGGAUGCCGUGGGGAACCAGGACCUUUACUUUGAAAAAAUUGAGUGUUUAAAGCAGGCAUUUUUGCUUGAAUACAUUAGCAUGGAAUAAUAAAAUAGGACGGCAUGGUUCUAUUUUGUUGGUUUCUAGGACCACCGUAAUGAUUAAUAGGGAUAGUUGGGGGCAUUAGUAUUCAAUUGUCAGAGGUGAAAUUCUUGGAUUUAUUGAAGACUAACUACUGCGAAAGCAUUUGCCAAGGAUGUUUUCAUUAAUCAAGAACGAAAGUUAGGGGAUCGAAGACGAUCAGAUACCGUCGUAGUCUUAACCAUAAACUAUGCCGACUAGGAAUCAGACGAUGUUAAUUUUUAAUGACUCGUUGGCAC